This 208-nucleotide ribosomal RNA is filed under the name uncultured bacterium. RNAcentral's name for it is "partial 16S ribosomal RNA". It matches the Rfam family "Bacterial small subunit ribosomal RNA", at positions 29 to 236 of the family's 1533-position model. The record is from RNAcentral.
ACGAACGCUGGCGGCGUGCUUAACACAUGCAAGUCGAGCGGUAAGGCCCUUUCGGGGGUACGACGAGCGGCGAACGGGUGAGUAACACGUGGGUGACCUGCCCUCAGCUCUGGGAUAAGCCUGGGAAACCGGGUCUAAUACUGGAUAUGACUCCAUGACGCAUGUUGGUGGGGUGGAAAGCCUUGUGCGGCUGAGGAUGGGCCCGCGG